GGUCUAGUGGCCUAGUGGUUAGAGCGUCCGCCUUGUAUGUGGGAGGUCGCAGGUUCGAACCCCAGCCGAGCUAUACCA
Potamilus streckersoni is the source of this 78-nucleotide non-coding RNA. Lineage: Eukaryota; Metazoa; Mollusca; Bivalvia; Unionida; Unionidae. The record is from the annotation of a GenBank genome assembly.